This 514-nucleotide ribosomal RNA is filed under the name uncultured bacterium. RNAcentral's name for it is "bacterial SSU rRNA". It matches the Rfam family "Bacterial small subunit ribosomal RNA", at positions 953 to 1466 of the family's 1533-position model. The record is from RNAcentral.
GAAGCAACGCGAAGAACCUUACCAGGUCUUGACAUCCCACUGACCGGUAUAGAGAUAUACCUUUCCCUUCGGGGACAGUGGUGACAGGUGGUGCAUGGUUGUCGUCAGCUCGUGUCGUGAGAUGUUGGGUUAAGUCCCGCAACGAGCGCAACCCUUGAUCUUAGUUGCCAGCAUUUAGUUGGGCACUCUAAGGUGACUGCCGGUGACAAACCGGAGGAAGGUGGGGAUGACGUCAAAUCAUCAUGCCCCUUAUGACCUGGGCUACACACGUGCUACAAUGGAUGGUACAAAGGGCUGCAAGACUGCGAAGUCAAGCGAAUCCCAUAAAACCAUUCUCAGUUCGGAUUGCAGGCUGCAACUCGCCUGCAUGAAGCUGGAAUCGCUAGUAAUCGUGGAUCAGCAUGCCACGGUGAAUACGUUCCCGGGCCUUGUACACACCGCCCGUCACACCACGAGAGUUUGUAACACCCGAAGCCGGUGGGGUAACCGUAAGGAGCCAGCCGUCUAAGGUGGG